This 453-nucleotide ribosomal RNA is filed under the name Triticum aestivum (bread wheat). RNAcentral's name for it is "partial small subunit ribosomal RNA". The record is from RNAcentral. Lineage: Eukaryota; Viridiplantae; Streptophyta; Magnoliopsida; Poales; Poaceae.
AAAUUGGCAUACAAGCUGCAGUUCCCUGAUCAUGUACAAGUUCACCCAGUUUUCCACGCCAGUCAGCUAAAGAAGCACAUCGGCAAUAAAUCCAUUCCUAGCCCUAAUUUGCCAAUGGUGGCAGCCGAUGGAACGAUCAAAACCGGGCCAGCUCAGGUUCUGCAAGUGAGGCAAGUACCCAGACACAAUCUGCCCGUGGUGCAGUGGUACAUUCAAUGGGAAAAUUUGCCUCCGGCCGAAGCAACAUGGGAAGACGCGGAUUUCAUCAAAUAUGCUUUCCGUGGCUCAAGAUUCAGUUAUCGCUGUAGCGUUUCUGGCAAAUACCGAUUCAGUAGAUGGACGGCUACGAUGGCGACCUCCUAUCCCAGUCGAUCACCACCGUUGGAUGGCCGUGACCGUUACUGUACCUUUCUUACCCUUUCCAUUAGUGAGCUGUCCUUGCUCUACCUAUAA